UUUUGGAAGUGUAAAAAUCGUAACAAGGUUUCCGUAGGUGAACCUGCGGAAGGAUCAUUAGCGAGUCUUUGAAGUGGGGAUUGCAGCUGGCUUUUAUUGGCAUGUGCUCACUCUACUCAAUUCCACUCUACACACCUGUGCACUUACUGUGGGCUUUUUGGUAUUGUUGGUCAGUGACGACUUUUCAAUCUGGAAGGCCUAUGUUAUGUUUUACUACAAACGUCCAGUCAACAGAAUGUGUAUCAUUGAUGUUAAUGCAUCUAUAUAUAACUUUUAGCAACGGAUCUCUUGGCUCUCGCAUCGAUGAAGAACGCAGCGAAAUGCGAUAAGUAAUGUGAAUUGCAGAAUUCAGUGAAUCAUCGAAUCUUUGAACGCACCUUGCGCUCCUUUCAACGGAGGAGCACGCCUGUUUGAGUGUCAUGAAUAUCUCAAUCUAACACACUUGUUGUUAGAGUUGGAUUUGGAGGCCUUUGUUGGUACAUUGGUAUCGGCUCCUCUCAAAUGCAUUAGCUUGGUUCCUUGCGGAUCGGUAUACCUCGGUGUGAUAGCUGUUUACGCUGUGGCCAUGAAGUGUUUUGGCCAGCUUCUAAUUGAAAGACAAUGAUUGACAAUCUGACCUCAAAUCAGGUGGGACUACCCGCUGAACUUAAGCAUAUCAAUA
Molecule: ribosomal RNA, 661 nt
Filed under: Melanoderma microcarpum
Lineage: Eukaryota; Fungi; Basidiomycota; Agaricomycetes; Polyporales; Polyporaceae
Description: eukaryotic LSU rRNA
Rfam family: 5.8S ribosomal RNA (bases 269-420)
Source: RNAcentral